This 433-nucleotide ribosomal RNA is filed under the name uncultured bacterium. RNAcentral's name for it is "partial 16S ribosomal RNA". It matches the Rfam family "Bacterial small subunit ribosomal RNA", at positions 29 to 507 of the family's 1533-position model. The record is from RNAcentral.
AACGAACGCUGGCGGCAUGCCUAACACAUGCAAGUCGAACGAGACCUUCGGGUCUAGUGGCGCACGGGUGCGUAACGCGUGGGAACCUGCCCUUAGGUUCGGAAUAACUCCCCGAAAGGGGUGCUAAUACCGGAUAAUGUCUUCGGACCAAAGAUUUAUCGCCUUUGGAUGGGCCCGCGUUGGAUUAGCUAGUUGGUAGGGUAAAAGCCUACCAAGGCGACGAUCCAUAGCUGGUCUGAGAGGAUGAUCAGCCACACUGGGACUGAGACACGGCCCAGACUCCUACGGGAGGCAGCAGUGGGGAAUAUUGGACAAUGGGCGAAAGCCUGAUACAGCAAUGCCGGGUGAGUGAUGAAGGCCUUAGGGUUGUAAAGCUCUUUUACCCGGGAUGAUAAUGACAGUACCGGGAGAAUAAGCUCCGGCUAACUCCGUG